This is a non-coding RNA of Punica granatum (pomegranate), 447 nucleotides long. NCBI's taxonomy places the organism in Eukaryota, Viridiplantae, Streptophyta, Magnoliopsida, Myrtales, Lythraceae. The record is from RefSeq and is a predicted model, not a curated record.
AAGCUGAAAUUACUUCGGGGAUCAAAGAUCAAAGCGGGGUCUUGGACUCCGGCGGAAGGAAGCAGCUGCGGAGCAGAAUUCCACUCGCCUAUGGAACUUCUGAGAGACAGAGGACGAGAAACAGACAGAGAGAGAAAAUAUUGAGUUCGGGCUGAAGUACUAAUCAACGAUAAGAAAAUGCUAAAUAUGAAGAUGAAGAUGAAGAAAGCAAUGCAGAGGAAAUAGGAAAAGGAAUGAAAGGACUGGAUGAGGAUCCCUGGCAAUGGACGACUAGCAAGCUAGGAAGUGGCGUUAGAUAUAUUAUUUUAUGCAUUAUCUGAAUGUAUUUGCUUAAUAUUGUUUCUGGAUGAAAAGUAGCUGUGUAUUUAAGUGUGGUCAAUUCAAUUAAUUUCUAUAUAAUUUGGAUAUUUCACAAGUAAUAUAACAUUUUAUUGUAUCACAUAUAAA